Molecule: ribosomal RNA, 2902 nt
Filed under: Klebsiella pneumoniae
Lineage: Bacteria; Pseudomonadati; Pseudomonadota; Gammaproteobacteria; Enterobacterales; Enterobacteriaceae
Description: 23S ribosomal RNA
Rfam family: Bacterial large subunit ribosomal RNA
Source: RNAcentral
GGUUAAGCGACUAAGCGUACACGGUGGAUGCCCUGGCAGUCAGAGGCGAUGAAGGACGUGCUAAUCUGCGAAAAGCGUCGGUAAGGUGAUAUGAACCGUUAUAACCGGCGAUGUCCGAAUGGGGAAACCCAGUGUGAUUCGUCACACUAUCGUUAACUGAAUACAUAGGUUAACGAGGCGAACCGGGGGAACUGAAACAUCUAAGUACCCCGAGGAAAAGAAAUCAACCGAGAUUCCCCCAGUAGCGGCGAGCGAACGGGGAGCAGCCCAGAGUCUGAAUCAGCUUGUGUGUUAGUGGAACGGUCUGGAAAGUCCGACGGUACAGGGUGAUAGUCCCGUACACCAAAAUGCACAGGCUGUGAACUCGAAGAGUAGGGCGGGACACGUGGUAUCCUGUCUGAAUAUGGGGGGACCAUCCUCCAAGGCUAAAUACUCCUGACUGACCGAUAGUGAACCAGUACCGUGAGGGAAAGGCGAAAAGAACCCCGGCGAGGGGAGUGAAAAAGAACCUGAAACCGUGUACGUACAAGCAGUGGGAGCACCUUCGGGUGUGACUGCGUACCUUUUGUAUAAUGGGUCAGCGACUUAUAUUCUGUAGCAAGGUUAACCGUAUAGGGGAGCCGCAGGGAAACCGAGUCUUAACUGGGCGUUAAGUUGCAGGGUAUAGACCCGAAACCCGGUGAUCUAGCCAUGGGCAGGUUGAAGGUUGGGUAACACUAACUGGAGGACCGAACCGACUAAUGUUGAAAAAUUAGCGGAUGACUUGUGGCUGGGGGUGAAAGGCCAAUCAAACCGGGAGAUAGCUGGUUCUCCCCGAAAGCUAUUUAGGUAGCGCCUCGUGAACUCAUCUUCGGGGGUAGAGCACUGUUUCGGCUAGGGGGUCAUCCCGACUUACCAACCCGAUGCAAACUACGAAUACCGAAGAAUGUUAUCACGGGAGACACACGGCGGGUGCUAACGUCCGUCGUGAAGAGGGAAACAACCCAGACCGCCAGCUAAGGUCCCAAAGUCAUGGUUAAGUGGGAAACGAUGUGGGAAGGCACAGACAGCCAGGAUGUUGGCUUAGAAGCAGCCAUCAUUUAAAGAAAGCGUAAUAGCUCACUGGUCGAGUCGGCCUGCGCGGAAGAUGUAACGGGGCUAAACCAUGCACCGAAGCUGCGGCAGCGACACUAUGUGUUGUUGGGUAGGGGAGCGUUCUGUAAGCCUGCGAAGGUGUGCUGUGAGGCAUGCUGGAGGUAUCAGAAGUGCGAAUGCUGACAUAAGUAACGAUAAAGCGGGUGAAAAGCCCGCUCGCCGGAAGACCAAGGGUUCCUGUCCAACGUUAAUCGGGGCAGGGUGAGUCGACCCCUAAGGCGAGGCCGAAAGGCGUAGUCGAUGGGAAACAGGUUAAUAUUCCUGUACUUGGUGUUACUGCGAAGGGGGGACGGAGAAGGCUAUGUUAGCCGGGCGACGGUUGUCCCGGUUUAAGCAUGUAGGCUGGUUGUCCAGGCAAAUCCGGAUAAUCAAGGCUGAGGUGUGAUGACGAGGCACUACGGUGCUGAAGUAACAAAUGCCCUGCUUCCAGGAAAAGCCUCUAAGCAUCAGGUAACAUCAAAUCGUACCCCAAACCGACACAGGUGGUCAGGUAGAGAAUACCAAGGCGCUUGAGAGAACUCGGGUGAAGGAACUAGGCAAAAUGGUGCCGUAACUUCGGGAGAAGGCACGCUGGUGUGUAGGUGAAGCCCCUGCGGGUGGAGCUGAAAUCAGUCGAAGAUACCAGCUGGCUGCAACUGUUUAUUAAAAACACAGCACUGUGCAAACACGAAAGUGGACGUAUACGGUGUGACGCCUGCCCGGUGCCGGAAGGUUAAUUGAUGGGGUUAUCCGUAAGGAGAAGCUCUUGAUCGAAGCCCCGGUAAACGGCGGCCGUAACUAUAACGGUCCUAAGGUAGCGAAAUUCCUUGUCGGGUAAGUUCCGACCUGCACGAAUGGCGUAAUGAUGGCCAGGCUGUCUCCACCCGAGACUCAGUGAAAUUGAACUCGCUGUGAAGAUGCAGUGUACCCGCGGCAAGACGGAAAGACCCCGUGAACCUUUACUAUAGCUUGACACUGAACAUUGAGCCUUGAUGUGUAGGAUAGGUGGGAGGCUUUGAAGCGUGGACGCCAGUCUGCGUGGAGCCAACCUUGAAAUACCACCCUUUAAUGUUUGAUGUUCUAACGUUGGCCCCUGACCGGGGUUGCGGACAGUGUCUGGUGGGUAGUUUGACUGGGGCGGUCUCCUCCCAAAGCGUAACGGAGGAGCACGAAGGUUAGCUAAUCCUGGUCGGACAUCAGGAGGUUAGUGCAAUGGCAUAAGCUAGCUUGACUGCGAGCGUGACGGCGCGAGCAGGUGCGAAAGCAGGUCAUAGUGAUCCGGUGGUUCUGAAUGGAAGGGCCAUCGCUCAACGGAUAAAAGGUACUCCGGGGAUAACAGGCUGAUACCGCCCAAGAGUUCAUAUCGACGGCGGUGUUUGGCACCUCGAUGUCGGCUCAUCACAUCCUGGGGCUGAAGUAGGUCCCAAGGGUAUGGCUGUUCGCCAUUUAAAGUGGUACGCGAGCUGGGUUUAGAACGUCGUGAGACAGUUCGGUCCCUAUCUGCCGUGGGCGCUGGAGAAUUGAGGGGGGCUGCUCCUAGUACGAGAGGACCGGAGUGGACGCAUCACUGGUGUUCGGGUUGUCAUGCCAAUGGCACUGCCCGGUAGCUAAAUGCGGAAGAGAUAAGUGCUGAAAGCAUCUAAGCACGAAACUUGCCCCGAGAUGAGUUCUCCCUGAGACUUUAAGUCUCCUGAAGGAACGUUGAAGACGACGACGUUGAUAGGCCGGGUGUGUAAGCGCAGCGAUGCGUUGAGCUAACCGGUACUAAUGAACCGUGAGGCUUAACCUU